AACGAGGCCGACCUGCGGCUGAGUUACCUGCGGAAGGAUCAUUACUGAGUGAGGGCCUUCGGGCUCGACCUCCAACCCUUUGUGAACACAACUUGUUGCUUCGGGGGCGACCCUGCCGUUUCGACGGCGAGCGCCCCCGGAGGCCUUCAAACACUGCAUCUUUGCGUCGGAGUUUAAGUAAAUUAAACAAAACUUUUAGCAAUGGAUCU
This 209-nucleotide unclassified non-coding RNA is filed under the name soil metagenome. RNAcentral describes it as "partial contains 5.8S ribosomal RNA, internal transcribed spacer 2, and large subunit ribosomal RNA". The record is from RNAcentral.